This is a long non-coding RNA of Engraulis encrasicolus (European anchovy), 392 nucleotides long. RefSeq lists it as uncharacterized. NCBI's taxonomy places the organism in Eukaryota, Metazoa, Chordata, Actinopteri, Clupeiformes, Engraulidae. The transcript is spliced from 3 exons. The record is from RefSeq and is a predicted model, not a curated record.
AGAAACUCUGACGUUGUAAAGCCUCUUCGCCUUACUCAAGACUCCCUGAAGGAGAAUAACAAGCUGACUGUCAGAGGUUUCAUCCCUCGCAAUGCUGAAAGGUGACCAUCAGACACCAGGUGGACAAGUUUGUGAUCGAUCUUCCAACGGGCAAGACGAUGAGCAUGGCAAACAGACUUGGCAUCUCCACCAUCAACAUGAUCAACAUCUCCGGCGACGUCUCCGUCAUGGAAUUCUUACUGCUUGAUUGAUUGAUUGAUUGAUUGAUUGAUUGAUUGAUUGAUUGAUUGAUUGAUUGAUUGAUUGAUUGAUGGAUGGAUCAGUCGAUUCUCACACAUUACCACAACACUGUUCAAUGAUGCUGUGAAUCUGUGAAAAUAAAGUGGUCGUAA